This 226-nucleotide ribosomal RNA is filed under the name uncultured bacterium. RNAcentral describes it as "partial 16S ribosomal RNA". It matches the Rfam family "Bacterial small subunit ribosomal RNA", at positions 524 to 745 of the family's 1533-position model. The record is from RNAcentral.
UACAGAGGGUGCAAGCGUUAAUCGGAAUUACUGGGCGUAAAGCGUGCGUAGUCGGUUAUCUAAGUCGGGUGUGAAAUCCCCGGGCUUAACCUGGGAACUGCAUUUGUGACUGGCAAGCUAGAGUAUGGCAGAGGGGGGUAGAAUUCCACGUGUAGCAGUGAAAUGCGUAGAGAUGUGGAGGAAUACCGAUGGCGAAAGGCAGCCCCCCUGGGAUCAAGCACUGACG